Molecule: ribosomal RNA, 501 nt
Filed under: uncultured bacterium
Lineage: Bacteria
Description: bacterial SSU rRNA
Rfam family: Bacterial small subunit ribosomal RNA
Source: RNAcentral
AGGAUAGAACGCGUGGGCGGCGUGACCUAACACAUGACAAGUCGGAACGGGUGUGGUAAAAUCGAAGGGUAAAAGGGUUUACUUCUUUGACCAGAUAACACACUAGUGGCGGACGGGUGAGUAACGCGUGGAUAACCUGCCUUAUACAGGGGGAUAACAGGGAGAAAUUCUUGCUAAUACCCCAUAGGUAUGUCUGACGCAUGUUGGACAUAUUAAAGCUUUGGCGGUAUAAGAUGGGUCCGCGUCUGAUUAGCUAGUUGGUGGGGUAAAGGCCCACCAAGGCGACGAUCAGUAGCCGGCUUGAGAGAGUGGACGGCCACAUUGGGACUGAGACACGGCCCAAACUCCUACGGGAGGCAGCAGUGGGGAAUAUUGCACAAUGGGGGAAACCCUGAUGCAGCGACGCCGCGUGAAGGAAGAAGGUCUUCGGAUCGUAAACUUCUAUCAGCAGGGAAGAAGGAAGUGACAGUACCUGAGUAAGAAGCCCCGGCUAACUACGUG